Molecule: ribosomal RNA, 634 nt
Filed under: Butyricicoccus sp. AF22-28AC
Lineage: Bacteria; Bacillati; Bacillota; Clostridia; Eubacteriales; Butyricicoccaceae
Description: partial 23S ribosomal RNA
Rfam family: Bacterial large subunit ribosomal RNA
Source: RNAcentral
CAACCUUGGGAUACCACUCUUGGGAUAUUGGGAUUCUAACCUGCGACCAUGAAUCUGGUCGGGGGACACUGUCAGGUGGGCAGUUUGACUGGGGCGGUCGCCUCCAAAAGAGUAACGGAGGCGCUCAAAGGUUCGUUCAGCACGGAUGGAAAUCGUGCACUGAGUGUAAACGCAUAAACGAGCCUAACUGCGAGAAUGACGGUUCGAGCAGUAACGAAAGUUGGAGUUAGUGAUCCGGCGGUAUGUGAAUGGAAAUGCCGUCGCUCAACGGAUAAAAGCUACCCUGGGAUAACAGGCUGAUCUCCCCCAAGAGUCCACAUCGACGGGGAGGUUUGGCACCUCGAUGUCGGCUCAUCGCAUCCUGGGGCUGAAUCGGUCCCAAGGGUUUGGCUGUUCGCCAAUUAAAGCGGUACGCGAGCUGGGUUCAGAACGUCGUGAGACAGUUCGGUCCCUAUCUGUUGCGGGCGCAGGAAUAUUGAGAGGAGCUGUCCUUAGUACGAGAGGACCGGGAUGGACGUACCGCUGGUGCACCAGUUGUUCUGCCAAGGGCAUAGCUGGGUAGCUAAGUACGGACGAGAUAAACGCUGAAGGCAUCUAAGCGUGAAACUCCCCUCGAGAUAAGUGUUCCCAUCCU